UAAAGGGACUGCCGGUGUUAAACCGGAGGAAGGUGGGGAUGACGUCAAGUCCUCAUGGCCUUUAUGACCAGGGCUACACACGUACUACAAUGGCCGAUACAAAGGGCAGCGACACUGCGAGGUGAAGCCAAUCCCGUAAAAUCGGUCUCAGUCCGGAUUGGAGUCUGCAACUCGACUCCAUGAAGUUGGAAUCGCUAGUAAUCGUGGAUCAGCAUGCCACGGUGAAUACGUUCCCGGGCCCU
RNAcentral lists this ribosomal RNA (242 nucleotides) under uncultured Desulfobulbus sp. RNAcentral's name for it is "partial 16S ribosomal RNA". It matches the Rfam family "Bacterial small subunit ribosomal RNA", at positions 1141 to 1382 of the family's 1533-position model. Lineage: Bacteria; Pseudomonadati; Thermodesulfobacteriota; Desulfobulbia; Desulfobulbales; Desulfobulbaceae. The record is from RNAcentral.